UAGUUUUUGGUGUUAAUGCACAAUAAAUUUUGAAUUUAUUAGUAAUAACUAAAGGUUAUUAAAACUAA
Molecule: transfer RNA, 68 nt
Filed under: Ixodes loricatus
Lineage: Eukaryota; Metazoa; Arthropoda; Arachnida; Ixodida; Ixodidae
Description: tRNA-Gln
Source: RNAcentral